CCUUCGGGGUACACGAGCGGCGAACGGGUGAGUAACACGUGGGUAACCUGCCCUGUACUCCGGGAUAAGCCUGGGAAACUAGGUCUAAUACCGGAUACGACCCUUCAAGGCAUCUUGUGGGGUGGAAAGUUCCGGCGGUAUGGGAUGGACCCGCGGCCUAUCAGCUUGUUGGUGGGGUGAUGGCCUACCAAGGCGACGACGGGUAGCCGGCCUGAGAGGGUGACCGGCCACACUGGGACUGAGACACGGCCCAGACUCCUACGGGAGGCAGCAGUGGGGAAUAUUGCACAAUGGGCGAAAGCCUGAUGCAGCGACGCCGCGUGAGGGAUGACGGCCUUCGGGUUGUAAACCUCUUUCAGCAGGGACGAAGCGCAAGUGACGGUACCUGCAGAAGAAGCACCGGCUAACUACGUGCCAGCAGCCGCGGUAAUACGUAGGGUGCGAGCGUUGUCCGGAAUUAUUGGGCGUAAAGAGCUCGUAGGCGGUUUGUUGCGUCGGCCGUGAAAACUUCACGCUUAACGUGGAGCCUGCGGUCGAUACGGGCAGACUUGAGUUCGGCAGGGGAGACUGGAAUUCCUGGUGUAACGGUGAAAUGCGCAGAUAUCAGGAGGAACACCGGUGGCGAAG
This 627-nucleotide ribosomal RNA is filed under the name bacterium. Its description in RNAcentral is "bacterial SSU rRNA". It matches the Rfam family "Bacterial small subunit ribosomal RNA", at positions 77 to 720 of the family's 1533-position model. The record is from RNAcentral.